GGUACUGCAGGUCCUGCACCUUCCAGCGAUCCCACAGCGCCCCCUGCCGAUCACGACCAGGUACUGCAGGUCCUGCACCUUCCAGCGACCCAACAACACCCCCUGCAGGCCACGAUUAGGACUGUGCUAAAGGACAGAGGAGUAUCCAUUCAAACUUGUUGUUUCUUAAUACUGUUUUUGCC
This is a long non-coding RNA of Lepidothrix coronata (blue-crowned manakin), 182 nucleotides long. RefSeq lists it as uncharacterized. Lineage: Eukaryota; Metazoa; Chordata; Aves; Passeriformes; Pipridae. The transcript has 3 exons. The record is from RefSeq and is a predicted model, not a curated record.